GUCCUAGAGGGAGAGGGACAGGCCGUCGCCAUGUCACCGCCCCGCCCCGCCACAGUGAGGCUUUUGUGCCCUGAAUGAUGCAGGCAGUGGUUUGUGGGAGUCUGUUGGUCCUGUCAUGCAAGUUACGGUGUCACCUGUGCUGCUAGUAAGGUGUUGAGCAGGCUAGUGUGUGUGUGUGUGUGUGUGUGUGUGUGUGUGUGUGUGUGUGUGUACUGCAGGCAAGGCUAUUGGUACACCCGCCCCCAGCCGUGACGUACAUGUGACGUGUGUGUAUGUAUGUGUGUGUGAUGCUAUGCUCAUGCUGUGUGACGAGCCGCCACGUCACGGGUUGGCAGGCAGGAAACACAAGGAGUGGAUCAGUUUUGGCCAGGCUGUGAAGGUGACCGGGUGGAGUGUUAAUACUAUUACUGGAUUUGUAUUAAUAUUACGUUUGAGCGGCACAGUUUGUGUUGACACGACUUAUUACCGCAGUCUGCACAGCGGCUGCAGUGUGGCAAGCCUUCGCCGCCUCCGCCCCCCUGUCAGGUAUGGAGGGGUUAGGGAAAGGACGCCGUGCCCCAGCAGCUGCCCCUGACUGGCCAGCUGACCCCCCUUGAUGUCUCCAGGGCCGUGGUGAGGCAGGAGAGGACUCGAGGGUGCUGUCACAAAAACCGCUUCUUGUGCUGGGAGGAAGAGCUUUCGUGUGGCCCACUGUGCAAUCCCACGCUGCUGUACCACGGGUUGGAGAGUGAGAGAGUGGAGAAGAGAGAGCUGAUCAGAAGGGCUGUGGAAGUGGAAGGUGCCCUGUCUGAGUCCUGCCUGUCACUAUGACAUCCUCUGAGGAAUUUUGGGGCAAGUGGAGAGGCCCAGAGAGAAAAAUAUUUGAAGGAUGCUUAAGUGAAGAUAAUAUUUAAAGGAUUUGUGGGAAAAGGAAAGUGGAUGAAAAGACGUUUGUCUCGUGCCAGCGAACGUCCUGUCUGCAGUCGGACUGGUGGUGCCGUGUUGCAGGCUGUGACGUCAGGAAGAGCCAAAUGGAGGGUGUCUACAGCCAGAACUUGCUGCUGCUGCUGUACAGGUGUCACAAGCCA
Molecule: long non-coding RNA, 1067 nt
Organism: Scylla paramamosain (green mud crab)
Lineage: Eukaryota; Metazoa; Arthropoda; Malacostraca; Decapoda; Portunidae
Exons: 6
Source: RefSeq, a predicted model, not a curated record